Molecule: transfer RNA, 77 nt
Filed under: Bacillus altitudinis
Lineage: Bacteria; Bacillati; Bacillota; Bacilli; Caryophanales; Bacillaceae
Description: tRNA-Ile
Rfam family: tRNA
About the family: Transfer RNA (tRNA) molecules are approximately 80 nucleotides in length. Their secondary structure includes four short double-helical elements and three loops (D, anti-codon, and T loops).
Source: RNAcentral
GGGCCUGUAGCUCAGCUGGUUAGAGCGCACGCCUGAUAAGCGUGAGGUCGGUGGUUCGUGUCCACUCAGGCCCACCA